GCCCGCUUGGCUAAGUGGUAUAGCGUGUCACUAGUAAUGGCUCUUCACAAAAAGACCAGCAAACUAGAUGCCAUGACAAGAUCAGCGGUUCGAUUCCGCUAGUGGGCA
Xylaria digitata is the source of this 108-nucleotide non-coding RNA. The record is from the annotation of a GenBank genome assembly. NCBI's taxonomy places the organism in Eukaryota, Fungi, Ascomycota, Sordariomycetes, Xylariales, Xylariaceae.